AUGAAGAAUGCUCAGGACAAGGGCUGGAGUGCGGGGGGGGACCUCCAGCCCCCCGGGGGGUCCCUGCGCCUCCUCUGCCGAGGGGCCGGGUUCGAUUUCGGGAAUUUUGAAAUGGAUUGGGUCCGCCAGAGACCCGGGCAGGGCCUGGAGUGGGUCGGGAGCAUCAACACUGGUGGCAGCAGCUGGUACGCGCCAUCGCUCAAGGGCCGGGUCACGAUCUCCAGGGACAACGGGCAGAGCUCGGUGACGCUGACCAUGACCGACCUGAGGGACGAGGAUUCCGGAUCCUAUUUCUGUGCCAAAACCACUGUUACUGGAAAUGUUCAUCCUGGUUAUGGAAUUGGCCCCCUCCCCAUCCCUGCGUCCCCCCCUGUCCCCAUGGCCCAGACCCUUCCCCAAACCCCGGCCCCUGACCCCAUUCCUGUCCCCGUGUCCCAGCUCUGAAAUGGUUCUGCCCCA
Haemorhous mexicanus (house finch) is the source of this 459-nucleotide non-coding RNA. Lineage: Eukaryota; Metazoa; Chordata; Aves; Passeriformes; Fringillidae. The record is from the annotation of a RefSeq genome assembly.